This 573-nucleotide ribosomal RNA is filed under the name Phaffia sp. Its description in RNAcentral is "partial 26S ribosomal RNA". It matches the Rfam family "Eukaryotic large subunit ribosomal RNA", at positions 61 to 648 of the family's 3401-position model. The record is from RNAcentral. Lineage: Eukaryota; Fungi; Basidiomycota; Tremellomycetes; Cystofilobasidiales; Mrakiaceae.
GAAACCAACCGGGAUUGCCUUAGUAACGGCGAGUGAAGCGGCAAAAGCUCAAAUUUGAAAUCUGGUACCUUCGGUGCCCGAGUUGUAAUUUGGAGAGGGCAACUUUGGGGCCGUUCCUUGUCUAUGUUCCUUGGAACAGGACGUCAUAGAGGGUGAGAAUCCCGUGUGGCGAGGAGUGCGGUUCUUUGUAAAGUGCCUUCGAAGAGUCGAGUUGUUUGGGAAUGCAGCUCUAAGUGGGUGGUAAAUUCCAUCUAAAGCUAAAUAUUGGCGAGAGACCGAUAGCGAACAAGUACAGUGAUGGAAAGAUGAAAAGAACUUUGAAAAGAGAGUGAAAAAGUACGUGAAAUUGUUGAAAGGGAAGGGCAUUUGAUCAGACAUGGUGUUUUGUGCCCUCUGCUCCUUGUGGGUAGGGGAAUCUCGCAUUUCACUGGGCCAGCAUCAGUUUUGGUGGCAGGAUAAAUCCAUAGGAAUGUAGCUUGCCUCGGUAAGUAUUAUAGCCUGUGGGAAUACUGCCAGCUGGGACUGAGGACUGCGACGUAAGUCAAGGAUGCUGGCAUAAUGGUUAUAUGCCGC